AUAGAAGUCAAACAAACAAACCCACAAACAGACACUUCGAGUUAUUGUAUGAUUUACUUUGAUAAAUGAACCACUGAAAGAGAUCCAGUCUUUCGAACUUGUUGACCACACCACUACCCAUACCCUAUGUUGGGCACACUGCUUUUCGAAACUGGCAUCCAGGGCAGCUUCUGUUGGUGUGUGAGACCUUCAUCUGUAGUGAUGGAGUAGAAAUCUCUAUUAUAAGCUGCUGCUGGAUUGGCAGAAUAGCUCACAGGUUGUGCACCCACCUUGAAGCUGUCUAGUCUCCAAUAUAUUCUUGACCUGACUGUAAGCUAUUACCCUAAUGUUUUUCAGGCAUGGCGUUGCAUCGAUGAUUGCGCCCUCCGUCAGAUGGGACACGAAGUUGGGGAGCCGACUGCCAGCGUGUUGGUUGCUGGUGCACGUGAAGGAUUCCCAUGGUGUUUUCACAAAGAGGUGACUCAUCAAUGUGUGUGCCAUCUCUCGGGUAGACGUUAAACUGGGAAACCCGUCUACAUCUUCCGGCAUUCUUUGAUGGACUUUAAAGAUCCAACGGUGUCCUUCGCGAAGAGCAGAGAGCGACUUGGGAUUGAAUGGCAAAGGAAGCAAAGACUAUGGAGUUCGCCACGGUUCACUUGGCUACGCCUUGAUGGAUUUGAGGGUUGUGGAGUAGCGGCUGAAACUGAAACCCGAAUCCUAUCCAGGUUUCUCCUGAUGACUCCAUCUUUGCUCUUUACUUCUUCAGGUUCCUUCUUGGUCUUCCGUUUGAUUCACAUACACACUGUUGUUUAAAUGGUAGCCUGGUGUUGGCGCAGUGGUUAGGGCAGCGGCUUGGGAUCCAAAAGGUCCUGAGUUCAAGCCCCGUUGGGCCAGGGGGGGGGGGGGGGGGGGGGGGGGGGGGGGGGGGGGG
Molecule: long non-coding RNA, 910 nt
Filed under: Eptatretus burgeri (inshore hagfish)
Lineage: Eukaryota; Metazoa; Chordata; Myxini; Myxiniformes; Myxinidae
Description: lncRNA (ENSEBUG00000017223.1)
Source: RNAcentral